RNAcentral lists this ribosomal RNA (440 nucleotides) under uncultured bacterium. RNAcentral's name for it is "partial 16S ribosomal RNA". It matches the Rfam family "Bacterial small subunit ribosomal RNA", at positions 338 to 795 of the family's 1533-position model. The record is from RNAcentral.
CCUACGGGUGGCAGCAGUGGGGGAUAUUGCACAAUGGGGGAAACCCUGAUGCAGCGACGCCGCGUGGGUGAAGAAGCUCCUCCGCGCGUAAAGCCCUGUCAGCAGGGACGAACAUGACGGUACCUGAACAAGCAUCCCCGGCUAACUACGUGCCAGCCGCCGCAGCUCUACGUAGGGGGCAAGCGUUAUCCGGAUUUACUGGGUGUUAAGGGGGCGCAGACGGCGUUGCAAGCCAGGAGUGAAUGCCCGGGGCCCAACCCCGGGACUGCCGUUGGAACUGGGUGGCUAGAGUGCAGGAGGGGCAGGCGGAAUGCCUGGUGUAGCGGUGAAAUGCGUAGAUAUCAGGAGGAACACCGGUGGCGAAGGCGGCAUGCUGGACUGCAACUGACGUUGAGGCCCGAAAGCGUGGGGAGCGAACAGGAUUAGAUACCCUAGUAGUC